GAUGAACGCUGGCGGCGUGCUUAACACAUGCAAGUCGAACGGAAAGGCCCAAGCUUGCUUGGGUACUCGAGUGGCGAACGGGUGAGUAACACGUGGGUGAUCUGCCCUGCACUUCGGGAUAAGCCUGGGAAACUGGGUCUAAUACCGGAUAGGACCACAUUUUGGAUGGUGUGGUGGAAAGUUUUUCGGUGUGGGAUGAGCUCGCGGCCUAUCAGCUUGUUGGUGGGGUAAUGGCCUACCAAGGCGUCGACGGGUAGCCGGCCUGAGAGGGUGUACGGCCACAUUGGGACUGAGAUACGGCCCAGACUCCUACGGGAGGCAGCAGUGGGGAAUAUUGCACAAUGGGCGCAAGCCUGAUGCAGCGACGCCGCGUGGAGGAUGACGGCCUUCGGGUUGUAAACUCCUUUCGCUAGGGACGAAGCGCAAGUGACGGUACCUGGAGAAGAAGCACCGGCUAACUACGUG
RNAcentral lists this ribosomal RNA (465 nucleotides) under uncultured bacterium. RNAcentral's name for it is "partial 16S ribosomal RNA". It matches the Rfam family "Bacterial small subunit ribosomal RNA", at positions 28 to 507 of the family's 1533-position model. The record is from RNAcentral.